AAACAAACUAUACAAUCGAUAAGCUAACA
RNAcentral lists this non-coding RNA (29 nucleotides) under Trypanosoma vivax. The record is from RNAcentral. Lineage: Eukaryota; Euglenozoa; Kinetoplastea; Trypanosomatida; Trypanosomatidae.